AGUGAACGCUGGCGGUAGGCCUAACACAUGCAAGUCGAACGGCAGCACAGUAAGAGCUUGCUCUUACGGGUGGCGAGUGGCGGACGGGUGAGGAAUACAUCGGAAUCUACUUUUUCGUGGGGGAUAACGUAGGGAAACUUACGCUAAUACCGCAUACGACCUACGGGUGAAAGCAGGGGAUCUUCGGACCUUGCGCGAGUGAAUGAGCCGAUGUCGGAUUAGCUAGUUGGCGGGGUAAAGGCCCACCAAGGCGACGAUCCGUAGCUGGUCUGAGAGGAUGAUCAGCCACACUGGAACUGAGACAAGGUCCAGACUCCUACGGGAGGGAGCAGUGGGGAAUAUUGGACAAUGGGCGCAAGCCUGAUCCAGCCAGACCGCGUGGGUGAAGAAGGCCUUCGGGUUGUAAAGCCAUUUUGUUGGGAAAGAAAAGCAGCAGGUUAAUACCCCGCUGUUCUGACGGUACCCAAAGAAUAAGCACCGGCUAACUUCGUG
RNAcentral lists this ribosomal RNA (492 nucleotides) under uncultured bacterium. Its description in RNAcentral is "partial 16S ribosomal RNA". It matches the Rfam family "Bacterial small subunit ribosomal RNA", at positions 29 to 507 of the family's 1533-position model. The record is from RNAcentral.